Long non-coding RNA from Cercocebus atys (sooty mangabey), 357 nucleotides. RefSeq lists it as uncharacterized. The record is from RefSeq and is a predicted model, not a curated record. NCBI's taxonomy places the organism in Eukaryota, Metazoa, Chordata, Mammalia, Primates, Cercopithecidae. The transcript has 3 exons.
UUGCAGCCAGGCUAACAGAAACCCAGCCCUGCCCACUGGGUGAAACUGCAAGUCGAGAGCGUGGGAAACCAGCAAGUUGAGAGAGGAUCCAGAAGUAACCCCUUCUAAAAUGGGAAAGAUGCCUUCCGAAAGCACUUGGCCCUAAAGAGAAAACACUAGGAGGAUGAGAACUGGGAACAGAGAAGCCACUUGCUCUGCAGCUAUUUGGGCCAAUAUCUUUUCAGAUUUUUGCAUUUCUGAUGAUCCAAUGGCCCCAUCCAGACUGGAGACACCAACUCACUGACUCAGCUGGUCUUGUGGCCCCCACCCAGAAGUGGACUCAGUGCAUGAGGACCAUUUUCCACACUCCUAUGAUUA